CCUACGGGAGGCAGCAGUGGGGGAUAUUGCACAAUGGGGGAAACCCUGAUGCAGCGACGCCGCGUGUGGGAAGACGGUCCUCUGGAUUGUAAACCACUGUCCCCAGGGACGAAGAUGACGGUACCUGGGGAGGAAGCUCCGGCUAACUACGUUCCAGAAGCAGCGGUAAUACGUAGGGAGCAAGCGUUGUCCGGAAUUACUGGGGGAAAAGGGAGCGUAGGCGGGAUGGCAAGUUGGGGGGUAAAUCCACCGGCUAAACUGGUAGUCGCACCCAAAACUGCCAUUCUUGAGUGAAGUAGAGGCAGGUAGAAUUCCUAGUGGAGCGGUGAAAUGCGUAGAGAUUAGGAGGAACACCAGUGGCGAAGGCGGCCUGCUGGGCUUUGACUGACGCUGAGGCUCGAAAGUGUGGGGAGCAAACAGGAUUAGAUACCCCAGUAGUC
This 440-nucleotide ribosomal RNA is filed under the name uncultured bacterium. RNAcentral describes it as "partial 16S ribosomal RNA". It matches the Rfam family "Bacterial small subunit ribosomal RNA", at positions 338 to 795 of the family's 1533-position model. The record is from RNAcentral.